Molecule: ribosomal RNA, 461 nt
Filed under: uncultured bacterium
Lineage: Bacteria
Description: bacterial SSU rRNA
Rfam family: Bacterial small subunit ribosomal RNA
Source: RNAcentral
AAUCAACGCUGGCGGCGUGCCUAACACAUGCAAGUCGAACGCGAAAGUCCCGCAAGGGAUGAGUAGAGUGGCAAACGGGUGAGUAACACGUGGGUGACCUGCCUUCGAGCGGGGGAUAACGUCCCGAAAGGGACGCUAAUACCGCAUGACAUCCUGCCUUUGAAGAGGUGGAGAUCAAAGCUGGGGAUCGCAAGACCUAGCACUUGAAGAGGGGCCCGCGUCNGAUUAGCUAGUUGGUGAGGUAACGGCUCACCAAGGCAACGAUCAGUAUCCGGCCUGAGAGGGCGGACGGACACACUGGGACUGAGACACGGCCCAGACUCCUACGGGAGGCAGCAGUGGGGAAUUGUUCGCAAUGGGCGCAAGCCUGACGACGCAACGCCGCGUGGAGGAUGAAGGUCUUCGGAUUGUAAACUCCUGUUGCCCGGGACGAAAAGCUUUGACCUAAUACGUCGGAGUCU